RNAcentral lists this ribosomal RNA (482 nucleotides) under uncultured bacterium. RNAcentral describes it as "partial 16S ribosomal RNA". It matches the Rfam family "Bacterial small subunit ribosomal RNA", at positions 30 to 507 of the family's 1533-position model. The record is from RNAcentral.
AUUGAACGCUGGCGGCAUGCCUUACACAUGCAAGUCGAACGGUAACGGGCCUUCGGGUGCCGACGAGUGGCGAACGGGUGAGUAAUACAUCGGAACGUGCCCGAUCGUGGGGGUUAACGAGGCGAAAGCUUUGCUAAUACCGCAUACGAUCUACGGAUGAAAGCAGGGGACCGCAAGGCCUUGCGCGGACGGAGCGGCCGAUGGCAGAUUAGGUAGUUGGUGGGAUAAAAGCUUACCAAGCCGACGAUCUGUAGCUGGUCUGAGAGGAUGAUCAGCCACACUGGGACUGAGACACGGCCCAGACUCCUACGGGAGGCAGCAGUGGGGAAUUUUGGACAAUGGGCGCAAGCCUGAUCCAGCCAUGCCGCGUGCAGGAUGAAGGCCUUCGGGUUGUAAACUGCUUUUGUACGGAACGAAAAGCCUUCUUUUAAUACAGGAGGGUCAUGACGGUACCGUAAGAAUAAGCACCGGCUAACUACGUG